CUUGAACUCCCUCCAUCCGAAAAUACUUGUCAUUGAAAUGGAUGUAUCUAGAUGUAUUUUAGUUCUAGACACAUCCAUUUUGAUGACAAGUAAUUCCGUACCGAGGGAGUACUUG
This is a non-coding RNA of Triticum aestivum (bread wheat), 115 nucleotides long. The record is from Rfam. Lineage: Eukaryota; Viridiplantae; Streptophyta; Magnoliopsida; Poales; Poaceae.